Molecule: long non-coding RNA, 1121 nt
Organism: Argentina anserina (silverweed cinquefoil)
Lineage: Eukaryota; Viridiplantae; Streptophyta; Magnoliopsida; Rosales; Rosaceae
Exons: 3
Source: RefSeq, a predicted model, not a curated record
GGUUUAAACUAUCUUCAUGGGCAUAAUGUGGUUCACAGGUAAUUCAUGUGAGAUUAGUAUAAUAUGAGAAAGUUGUGGUUUCUGGAUGUAUUGAUCUGACCAUAAUACUUUCUUUGAGCAUUUUGCAACGUAGAACAAGUCAUCUAAAAAACAAAUGGUAAGUAGAAGAAGUUAAAGAAUUGUGGUUGCACCUUCACAAUGUCGAUCCAUUGUUAAUCUUUGCUUCAAUGGUUUUGUCAUUCGCAUCUCUAUAUUUCUCAUUUCCAGGGACAUUGAGUGCGCGUCUGAUAGAAUAGUUAUAUCUAAACUUAUUCUCAUUGAUCUAUGAAGGGACAUCAAAUGUGCAAAUAUUUUAGUGGAUGCUUAUGGAUCUGCAAAGCUUGCAGAUUUUGGAUUGGGAAAGAUAACCACCAAAAUGAAUGAAAUUAAAUCUUUUGCAGGGGACUGCAUUCUGGAUGGCCCCUGAGGUUUUUAGUGCGAAAAUGAAGAACCAAGUUAUGGGCCUCCAGCAGAUAUAUGGAGCCUUGGUUGGACUGUCUUGGAGAUGUUAACAAGGCAGGUUCCCUACCCUGGUUUGGAACCGGUUAGUGCCAUUUUCAUUACAAGUUUCACUCUUUAAAGUUCAUCAUAGUAUAUGAGGUGAUGCAUCUUUCAUGUGUAUGCUCAACAGUUUCAGGCAGUUUUUAAGAUUGCAAUGGGGGGGCUCCCUCACGUUCCUCAUUUUCUUUGUAAAGAGGCGCGCGAUUUCAUCCAUUGGUGCCUACAAGUUAAUCCAAACAAUCGACCUACUGCUGCUCAGCUCGUGUCAUCCAUUUGCCACAUCUAGGCCUAAGAAACCACCAAAUGUUUUGGAUCACUUGGAUGGUCUUCGUAUUCGGAUGAAGGGAAACGAACUUUAUGCAAGAGGGUAUUUCACUGGCUAUGAGUAUGAGAGCGUAGCCAUUUAGAUUAACUGAGCUGUUAGAGGCAGGAAACUCAUUCGAUUCAGAUUGUAAAGAUUUAAGCAUAGUGCCUAAAGAAUUUGUAUCGUUCCAAUUUUAUCGGAUGUCCCCGAUUUGUAAAGACACUGUUGUCAUAUAGACUAAGUCUCUUAUACUCGAUGUCAUAGGCUUAAUAAUGUU